GCUGCUUCUGUCGCUGUCUGAUAUCCAGCAUGGCUUUCUCCCGCUGCUCGUAGAAGUCGAAAUCCUCGAGGAUAGUUGUCUCGACCUCAUGGUUCUUGAAGAUUGUUAGCAUCUGGAGCCCGUGGUCCAGUCUCACCUGUGAGUUGACAAUGUUAGUUUAGUUACUUGGCUUGUUUUCAUUGUUCUCGAGAAUGAUGUGCCGAAGAAGGCUGUUCGGGACAUCCUUGAUAAUGUGCCAUUUGACAGGAAACUGGCCGCUCCACUUGUCUUGCUGCCAGUAAUCAACACUCUUGUCGAAGUCCACAGGUCCAAUCAUCUCAGCCACACCACAGAACUGGCCGCUGCCAUUAACCUAUAGGGAAAAAAAUAGGACAAGUGGCUUCUUUCUCUUUUGCUUCACGAUAAGCAGCAUCCAACUUUCUGUUACCACUAGCAGUGCUGGCCCAGACACCAUACUUUAUGCUCUUGUGUACAUGAUCUUCGGUAUAGGAUUUUAU
RNAcentral lists this small RNA (497 nucleotides) under Oryza sativa Japonica Group (Japanese rice). RNAcentral describes it as "sRNA Os04g0608850". The record is from RNAcentral. Lineage: Eukaryota; Viridiplantae; Streptophyta; Magnoliopsida; Poales; Poaceae.